AAAAACAUCGCCUUCGGAUUAUGAUCGAAAGGUCCGGCCUGCCCGGUGGCUUGAAGAGCUAAACGGCUGCAGUACUCUGACUGUGCAAAGGUAGCAUAAUCAAUUGCCUAUUAAUUGUAGGCUGGCAUCAACGGUUAGACGACAAAGGUUCUGUCUCUCUCUAUUUGUUCUGAAUUUAGUUUGUAGGUGAAGAAACCUUCAUGUUGGAGUAGGACGAGAAGACCCUAUUGAGCUUUAGGUUGAAGGUUUAGGUUUUGAAACCUGUGACUUUGGGUUGGGGCAACUGUUUACUUAAUUAGACGUAGAUUAACUUUCUGUGAUUUGAGUCUUUCUUUGACCCAGAAGUUUCUGAUAAUUAGAAAAAGUUACCUUAGGGAUAACAGCGUAAUUUCCCUCGAUAGUUCUUAUUGACGGGGAAGUUUGCGACCUCGAUGUUGGAUCAAGAUAACCUGAAGGUGCAGCAGCUUUCAAGGGUUGGUUUGUUCAACCAUGAAAAUCUUACGUGAUCUG
Molecule: ribosomal RNA, 510 nt
Filed under: Ophiolepis impressa
Lineage: Eukaryota; Metazoa; Echinodermata; Ophiuroidea; Amphilepidida; Ophiolepididae
Description: partial large subunit ribosomal RNA
Rfam family: Bacterial large subunit ribosomal RNA
Source: RNAcentral